This is a long non-coding RNA of Oncorhynchus tshawytscha (Chinook salmon), 2228 nucleotides long. The record is from Ensembl. NCBI's taxonomy places the organism in Eukaryota, Metazoa, Chordata, Actinopteri, Salmoniformes, Salmonidae.
CAUCCUGAACCCAGACCAGGCCCCCAUCCUGAACCCAGACCAGGCCCCCCAUCCUGAACCCAGACCAGGCCCCCCAUCCUGAACCCAGACCAGGCCCCCCAUCCUGAACACAGACCAGGCCCCCCAUCCUGAACACAGACCAGGCCCGACCACCCAUCAGUCACAAAAUGGCUGCAAAAUAGAUAAAGCUGAGAAACACCAGAUCCCCUGCCCUCAUCACUGGACGCCUUAUUUCAUUCUUCUGUAUAUUAUUAUUAUUAUUAUUAUUGAUAUUUACUUGUUUAAACCAUGGAACGCACAUAAUUAACUUUUUUAUUUUCUGUGGAAUACAAAAAAACGGUUCGGUCUAGUUUAACUGUUGUUGCUAGAUAGUUCUCUAGUCUCGUUCAUGCGUUUCCUCUCCCCUGUUAAUCUACACAAGCAAUAGACAACACAAAUAACUGCUCAUAAUAUAAUCUAGUGUAUCUCAUUAUUGGAGGAGGGGGGGAUGUGGGCAUCAGUAGGUUGCUUUCAGAAGAAUCAGACGGUUGCUAUAGGAGAUGGUUGGAACAUAAGAAGAUGACGUCAUUGUCACAUCGUCAUAGAGAUUUAAUAAAUACACCAAACGGACAGCAGGUCGCUGGGGAGAGGACAAGUGUUCCCCAUUCCAAGGGAAUCCUCAUCGACCAAUCAAUACUCUGUAUCUGUCCUGGCUGUCAUCUUGCUUUGUGACAUCACUGUGUUUUUAAUGUGUAGCUAUGUCAGAGAGGAGACUGAGUUAAAGGGUUAGCUUCAGAAAAAAUUACCUGUGGUUCAUGUAGGUUUAGGAGACUGCUUUAUUCUCCCUCUAGUUGACAAUCUACUCCGGUAGUUUCUCUGCUUUCAUUGGAGGAGUUUGUUGACAGUGAUUUGGCUGACUGCCAGGGUGUGACAGUGAUUUGGCUGACUGCCAGGGUGAAACAACCCAAUACGUAUUUUAUAACCUUAUUUGACCGUUUCAGAAUUGGUGGUGUAAGGAACGAUUUACGUAACAAGGACUUUUUGUACUUGUUCUGCUGCAGAACAUAAGAUUUGUCAGAAAAAGAGGAGUGGAUUGUUUUAUUUUUGUUUACUCAUUUUUUUUCUUAUUAAAGAAAUUAAUUUGCUGGAAAAAAAUAUUUAUUUUUACCCCCCUUUCAAUCUGUCUAUUCCGUAGUAGAAUUAAUUUGUUGGACUAUGGAAUUCAAAAGGUUAUUUUUAUUUUCCCAAGGCCUGUUUUCUUUUAUUUUCUUCUUUUUUUUUGUUGAUAAAUCCCAGUUUAUUCCGCCCCCAAAUUGUGGAGGAAGUUUUUCGUAUUGAUAAACAUUUACAUUUUGUUUUUGGUGUAUUAUGUGUUAAGGUAUGCAAUUGUGUAACGUGCCGAGUGUUUUCCACGUAGUCUUUUUAGAGCGGAACGGUUUUUAGUUACCUAGUGUGGAUAUGAUGGCAGGAAGAGUGAUUGAUUGGCGCAGCUAGUAUCGGCUCAGUUGUAAAUAAGUUCCUUCACGUAGCAAGAAGUUAAAAAUAAAAUAAGAAACGUUUAAAAAAUAUAAAAAAAACAUUUGAAAAAAAAAUGGCUUUUUAUAUAAUUAUCUGUAACAAAAUUGGCUUUUAUAUGUUUGUCAUCUCGGUUGCUUUGUCUAGAUAUAAAAAAAAUAAUAAUAAUUAAAAAGGAAAUGUCUUCCUGCUCUGUCUUGUUCUCGCUUCUGUUUUUCCUCAUUGACUAUAAUGCAGAACCCUUCUUCUUGAUAUCGUUGCUAUGGUUAUAAUGCCCAAGUUGCGUUGGCAGGCAGGGAGGUCAGGAGGUUGUAUUAAGAACCCAACAUAGAAAUAGAAUCUAGAAGCGAUUGUUGAACAGCAACAGCUAGCUGAUGGAGAUUUGAGCUUUGUUCAAUCUGAUCUGACAGAUGUUUCGGUAUUAAAUUGUUUGUGAAUAUUACUAUGAAAAAUAAAACUUUUUAGUGCAUCCUUUUCUUACAAUUUCUGGAGAUGUGACUUAUUUUGUGUGAAUGUUGUGUUGCUAAUGAGGGGAGAGACAUCUUUUCCUUGACUUGGACACUGGUUGAGUUCACCACCACCUCUACUUAUGUGUAAAAUAUAAAGUACAUACUGUUCGGUUAUACAGUGGGGCAAAAAAGUAUUUAGUCAGCCACCAAUUGUGCAAGUUCUCCCACUUAAAAAGAUGAGAGAGGCCUGUAAUUUUAAUCAUAGGUACACUUCAACUAUGACAG